RNAcentral lists this ribosomal RNA (216 nucleotides) under Glomeromycotina sp. RNAcentral describes it as "partial small subunit ribosomal RNA". The stretch from base 40 to 216 matches the Rfam family "Eukaryotic small subunit ribosomal RNA", at positions 686 to 864 of the family's 1831-position model. Lineage: Eukaryota; Fungi; Glomeromycota. The record is from RNAcentral.
GGGUCAGUAGGUUGGUCGUGCCACCGGUACGUACUGGUCUCACUGAUUCCUCCUUCCUGAAGAACCGUAAUGCCAUUAAUUUGGUGUUGCGGGGAAACAGGACUGUUACUUUGAAAAAAUUAGAGUGUUUAAAGCAAGUUAACGCUUGAAUACAUUAGCAUGGAAUAAUGAAAUAGGACGAUCGAUCCUAUUUUGUUGGUUUCUAGGAUUGACGUA